Molecule: ribosomal RNA, 490 nt
Filed under: uncultured Propionibacterium sp.
Lineage: Bacteria; Bacillati; Actinomycetota; Actinomycetes; Propionibacteriales; Propionibacteriaceae
Description: partial 16S ribosomal RNA
Source: RNAcentral
CACGUAGUUGGCCGGUGCUUCUUUACCCAUUACCGUCACUCACGCUUCGUCACAGGCGAAAGCGGUUUACAACCCGAAGGCCGUCAUCCCGCACGCGGCGUUGCUGCAUCAGGCUUCCGCCCAUUGUGCAAUAUUCCCCACUGCUGCCUCCCGUAGGAGUCUGGGCCGUAUCUCAGUCCCAAUGUGGCCGGUCACCCUCUCAGGCCGGCUACCCGUCAAAGCCUUGGUAAGCCACUACCCCACCAACAAGCUGAUAAGCCGCGAGUCCAUCCCCAACCGCCGAAACUUUCCAACCCCCACCAUGCAGCAGGAGCUCCUAUCCGGUAUUAGCCCCAGUUUCCUGAAGUUAUCCCAAAGUCAAGGGCAGGUUACUCACGUGUUACUCACCCGUUCGCCACUCGAGCACCCCACAAAAGCAGGGCCUUUCCGUUCGACUUGCAUGUGUUAAGCACGCCGCCAGCGUUCGUCCUCGAGCCAGGACUCAAACUCU